UCUAAUAUCUUUGAAGUUUAUACGAUGCAAAAAAUUUGUGCAUAGAAAGUGCAAGUAAAACAAACAAAUUUAGCGUUUUGCGAGUUGUUGCGAGACUUUUGUGAUAAAAAAUAUAAGUACCAAAUUCUGUUUUUAAAUCACAUUUAAUUGAAAUGAUAUAACUUCGAAUGGAAUUCCUGAAGUGUCAAAUAAAUUUGUCGAUCUCCUAAUUGAUACAGAGACAUAUGUAUUCUUUUCAUAAAAUUUUUCGAUUUUAAAUGGAGCAUUUAAUCUCCUCACAUAUAAGGAUAGUACAGAUGCGAUGACCAAUGUUCUUGGCUGUGGUGAAGGUAUUAACAGUGAGGACAGUAAUAAUGGAUAGUCUAUUUACUCAAAAUGUUCUCGACGAAACAGAGGACAUACCGCAAACAGAUGAACCUAUUUGGAUUCUUGGCAAGAAAUACAAUGCUUUAAAAGAGCUCGAUAUGAUACGUAGAGACAUCCGAUCCAUGCUAUGGUUUACUUAUCGCAAAGGUUUUAUUCCCAUCGGUGGUUGUAACUCCACAUUUACAUCUGACAAAGGUUGGGGCUGUAUGUUAAGAUGCGGUCAGAUGGUUCUUGCCCAAGCUUUAAUUACAUUACAUUUAGGUAAAGAUUGGCAAUGGAUGCCAGAAACAAAGAACAGCACAUAUUUGAAAAUUUUAAGCCGCUUUGAAGAUAAAAGAGCUGCUGCUUUUUCCAUUCAUCAAAUUGCAUUAAUGGGUGCAUCAGAAGGAAAGGAAGUAGGACAAUGGUUUGGCCCUAAUACCAUUGCACAAGUAUUAAAAAAAUUAGUCGUAUAUGAUGAAUGGAGCUCCAUCACUAUACAUGUUGCACUAGACAAUACAUUAAUAAUUAAUGAUAUUUUAAGACAGUGUAGGAUAGAAGGUGGUACGACCGCGGAAAUAGAUGGAGAAGUACCUUUAAAGGCACCUGGCCAAUGGAAACCUUUAUUAUUGUUAAUUCCAUUACGCCUUGGACUCAGCGAGAUUAAUCCUAUAUACAUUAAUGGACUUAAGACGUCAUUUAAGAUUACACAGUCCAUGGGAGUGAUUGGAGGAAAACCCAAUCUUGCUUUAUAUUUUAUAGGCUGCGUAGGGGAUGAAGUGAUUUAUUUGGAUCCUCAUACUACACAGAAAUCAGGUAGUAUUGAAGACAAGAUGAAUGAAGAAGAAGUUGAAAUGGAUACUACAUAUCACUGCAAAUCAGCUAGUCGCAUUCCUAUUACAGGCAUGGAUCCUUCUGUGGCACUCUGCUUCUUCUGUGCUACAGAAAAAGAAUUUAAAUCUUUAUGUAAAUCAAUGCAAGAAGAAUUAAUUUUGCCUGAGAAACAACCAUUAUUUGAGCUCUGCAAAGAACGUUUAACACAUUGGACACCAGCAGAUGAUGUUGCUUCUGAAGCAAUAGCAACUUCUAGUUUGCACCACUGUGCGCCGUCGCGUCGAGCAGCUAUUAAGACUUGGUCCUGACGUUCAUCGUCCCCGGCUGCCGAUAGCGCCUCUUCCCCGGCUGAAGGAGCGGACGCCUCCCCUUGGUCGCGGUCAGCGUUGCUCACAUGGACGUUAAGGAGUUCCCUGGGGAGAUGAUGCGGCGGAUCUUGCGGCGGUAUCCCACCGCUGCCACCAAAAUGUUGCGACCGGGACGGUCUUGGGGAUGUGGGGUACCGUCGUGAGUUUGUGGGAGCCUCGGGUGCCGGAAGUAGCCGCAGGGAUUUAAUUCCUAUUUUGAGUUUCUUG
RNAcentral lists this unclassified non-coding RNA (1754 nucleotides) under Camponotus floridanus (Florida carpenter ant). RNAcentral's name for it is "cysteine protease ATG4B, transcript variant X10". Lineage: Eukaryota; Metazoa; Arthropoda; Insecta; Hymenoptera; Formicidae. The record is from RNAcentral.